CUUCAUAAGGGUUCUCCUCUCCAGUAUCCAGCGCCAGUUUGUUAUACUCACUCCGGUUCAUCUCCCACUGGUCACGCUGGUUCCCGCGGCAGAGCUCCUCUCCACGUUCCACGCUGGUCCCGCCGUCCUCAGCGCCCACGCCUCACUCCACGGUGAUCCCACCGUCCUCGGCAUCCAGGCUUUGCCUCCAGUCGCUCCGCCGUCCUCAGCGUCCCGCUCGACCUCAAGUUGGUUCCGCCGUCCUCGGCUCCCCCCACGCUACGCUCCUCAGGUUCCACGGUCCGCCGCGCUCCUGGGACAUCAGAUCUUCAUCCGAAGAUUAUUCAAGCUACGCUCUCUUGGAGACUCUGUAAACCCCCAGGAGAAUUAAAACCUCUUUGCAAACUA
Oryzias latipes (Japanese medaka) is the source of this 387-nucleotide non-coding RNA. The record is from RefSeq and is a predicted model, not a curated record. NCBI's taxonomy places the organism in Eukaryota, Metazoa, Chordata, Actinopteri, Beloniformes, Adrianichthyidae.